This 25-nucleotide non-coding RNA is filed under the name Rattus norvegicus (Norway rat). The record is from RNAcentral. Lineage: Eukaryota; Metazoa; Chordata; Mammalia; Rodentia; Muridae.
UGAAUGAUGGCCUCUUCCUGUGUGA